UUAGCUCGAAUUCUAGAUAUCAACCACUUAAUCAAAAUCAAUUACAUAUUCUUGACUCAAAAUCUAAGAAUAGUUCUUAGCUUUUAGAAAUUAAACCAUGUUCUUAAUCAGGUUAACCCAAUAUCAUCAGCUUGUCUAAUCUAUACUCAACGAGCUAUACUUGACAAAUGGUUGGAUGUUGACAAUUAGGUUAAGUACUAUAAAUUGGACUUCAUAGUUGAUGAAAUCCAAAAUAUAUAUAAGGACAUAUAGCCUGCCAAUAACAUGCUAAUUCAUUUGCAAUAGUUGUGAGAUGAUCAGAGUCGCAUAGUGCAUGAGAUGCGUG
This 325-nucleotide long non-coding RNA is filed under the name Elaeis guineensis (African oil palm). RNAcentral's name for it is "long non-coding RNA (EGUI_LNC033429)". Lineage: Eukaryota; Viridiplantae; Streptophyta; Magnoliopsida; Arecales; Arecaceae. The record is from RNAcentral.